GAUGAACGCUGGCGGCGUGCCUAAUACAUGCAAGUCGAGCGAACGGACGAGAAGCUUGCUUCUCUGAUGUUAGCGGCGGACGGGUGAGUAACACGUGGAUAACCUACCUAUAAGACUGGGAUAACUUCGGGAAACCGGAGCUAAUACCGGAUAAUAUUUUGAACCGCAUGGUUCAAAAGUGAAAGACGGUCUUGCUGUCACUUAUAGAUGGAUCCGCGCUGCAUUAGCUAGUUGGUAAGGUAACGGCUUACCAAGGCAACGAUGCAUAGCCGACCUGAGAGAGUGAUCGGCCACACUGGAACUGAGACACGGUCCAGACUCCUACGGGAGGCAGCAGUAGGGAAUCUUCCGCAGUGGGCGAAAGCCUGACGGAGCAACGCCGCGUGAGUGAUGAAGGUCUUCGGAUCGUAAAACUCUGUUAUUAGGGAAGAACAUAUGUGUAAGUAACUGUGCACAUCUUGACGGUACCUAAUCAGAAAGCCACGGCUAACUACGUG
Molecule: ribosomal RNA, 497 nt
Filed under: uncultured bacterium
Lineage: Bacteria
Description: partial 16S ribosomal RNA
Rfam family: Bacterial small subunit ribosomal RNA
Source: RNAcentral